This 131-nucleotide small RNA is filed under the name Klebsiella pneumoniae. RNAcentral describes it as "RtT sRNA". It matches the Rfam family "RtT RNA". From Rfam's summary of the family: This family represents a bacterial cis-regulatory element known as RtT RNA. The exact function of RtT is unknown although it is thought that it may be involved in changing the cellular response in relation to amino acid starvation. Lineage: Bacteria; Pseudomonadati; Pseudomonadota; Gammaproteobacteria; Enterobacterales; Enterobacteriaceae. The record is from RNAcentral. RNAcentral also lists the same sequence under 1 other name.
UAUUCUGCCCCAUGGGGAAGGAUGAGAAGCUUCGACCAAGGUUCGACUCGAGCGAAGCGAGAGAACGUUGCCGCAGGCAAUGGCCCGAAGGCGAGGCGCUUUAGCGCCGAGUAAUCCUUCCCCCACCACUG